GGGAAUGUAGCUCAGUGGGAGAGCACACACCGAGCAUGUGUGUAAGGGCCUGGGUUCAAUCCCAAGUAUGUCCA
This 74-nucleotide transfer RNA is filed under the name Cricetulus griseus (Chinese hamster). It matches the Rfam family "tRNA". From Rfam's summary of the family: Transfer RNA (tRNA) molecules are approximately 80 nucleotides in length. Their secondary structure includes four short double-helical elements and three loops (D, anti-codon, and T loops). The record is from Rfam by way of RNAcentral. Lineage: Eukaryota; Metazoa; Chordata; Mammalia; Rodentia; Cricetidae.